CUGAGUGAGGGCCUCCGGUCCGACCUCCAACCCUUUGUGAACCAACACUGUUGCUUCGGGGGCGACCCAGCCUUUCCGGCAGCGCGCCCCCGGAGGAAAUCAAAACGCUGCAUCUUUGCGUCGGAGUAUCAAUCAAAUUGAACA
This 144-nucleotide unclassified non-coding RNA is filed under the name uncultured Mycosphaerellaceae. RNAcentral's name for it is "sequence contains ITS1". The record is from RNAcentral. Lineage: Eukaryota; Fungi; Ascomycota; Dothideomycetes; Mycosphaerellales; Mycosphaerellaceae.